AGAUCUUGGUCAGGAUGAACGCUAGCGGCAGGCUAACACAUGCAAGUCGAGGGGCAGCGGAGAGUAGCAAUACUCUGCCGGCGACCGGCGAAAGGGUGCGUAACGCGUGAGCAACUUGCCCGUAUCCGGGACAUAAGCGGUGGAAACGCCGUCUAAUUUCCCAGUAACAACAGAGGCCGCAUGACCUUUGUUUGAAAGAUCCGUCGGAUACGGAUGGGCUCGCGAGACAUUAGCUAGUCGGCGUGGUAACGGCACACCGAGGCGACGAUGUCUAGGGGUUCUGAGAGGAAGGUCCCCCACACUGGAACUGAGACACGGUCCAGACUCCUACGGGAGGCAGCAGUGAGGAAUAUUGGUCAAUGGGCGCAAGCCUGAACCAGCCAUGCCGCGUGAAGGAAUAAGGGUACCCCUAGUGGGUCGUAAACUUCUUUUGUGGUGGAGCAAUAAGGUGCACGUGUGCAUCGAUGAGAGUACAUCACGAAUAAGCAUCGGCUAACUCCGUGCCAGCCGCAGC
This 514-nucleotide ribosomal RNA is filed under the name uncultured bacterium. Its description in RNAcentral is "bacterial SSU rRNA". It matches the Rfam family "Bacterial small subunit ribosomal RNA", at positions 14 to 518 of the family's 1533-position model. The record is from RNAcentral.